GGCUUGGGCUUCAAAUAAUCAAUUUUAUGGGCUUUUUGGGAGAUAAGAAAGCCCAUUAAUCUAACCAUAAAUUUCAGUACCCAUUUUCAUUUUUUUCUGGUUCUAGAUCAAUUUCAUUGAGCACUCUCGAAGAUAUCAAGAUGGGGUUCAUAAUGGAAUUUGCGGAGAAUUUGGUGUUGCGAUUGAUGGAGGAUCCAAACGAGAGAGACAGGAAAGCGAGGGAGAGAUUGUACGAGCGGAAGGAGCAGUGCAAGAAGACUCUGGAGAUGCAUCGGUUGCCCCUGCGCCCCUAUGGCUUCUGGACAUUUGAGCGCCACAACGCUCAGAUCUUCUGGGAUGAGCAGAUUAGCAAUGUCCAAGGCCGCCGGGACCCUUACGACGAGCUCAUUGAGGAAUACUCCAAAUAAAUUGGGACAUUUGGGUGUAUAGUGUGGGGUGACCUCUGUUGAAGACAAUGCUUAUGCAUAUUGUAGUUGGUGUUCACAGGCAGUGUUCUGUGAGACUUGAAUUUAUUUUCUUCAGUUUGAUUGUUGUAAUAAAUUACAUCGACAAAAGUUAACUCAGUUGGCUACUACUUUUUCUGCACUUUGUUUGCAUUCCAAAUUCAUGCGUCAUUCCGCAGAUUAUAUGAUCCUCUGUUUUAUUUCAA
This is a long non-coding RNA of Salvia miltiorrhiza (redroot sage), 649 nucleotides long. RefSeq lists it as uncharacterized. Lineage: Eukaryota; Viridiplantae; Streptophyta; Magnoliopsida; Lamiales; Lamiaceae. The record is from RefSeq and is a predicted model, not a curated record. The transcript is spliced from 3 exons.